This is a long non-coding RNA of Manduca sexta (tobacco hornworm), 307 nucleotides long. RefSeq lists it as uncharacterized. The record is from RefSeq and is a predicted model, not a curated record. The transcript is spliced from 3 exons. NCBI's taxonomy places the organism in Eukaryota, Metazoa, Arthropoda, Insecta, Lepidoptera, Sphingidae.
UAAAUAAAAUAAAUACAGGAGGAAGAUUUAUUUGAUGUUCUCUAAAUUCUUUGUAAAACUUGGAAGAACGCAGGCAGCAAAUUGCGAUAAAAUGGAGAGAGAUAAAAUAGAGAAGUGAAAUGUAGUUGGAGGAAGACAAGAUCAUGCUCAUUGUGCCUCCUCAGAACCCACUUCCAAUAGAAAAUAUAAAGGAGAUAUGUAUGUAUCCAUUUUAUGUUAUAAUCAUGUAGGACAUUGUUGUUUUAGGUUUGUCCCACAUCUGCAGAAUAAAUUGUAACAGUAGAAGUGCAACAUGCUAUUCAGAUGG